Molecule: unclassified non-coding RNA, 1297 nt
Filed under: Lucilia cuprina (Australian sheep blowfly)
Lineage: Eukaryota; Metazoa; Arthropoda; Insecta; Diptera; Calliphoridae
Description: uncharacterized LOC111686121, transcript variant X3
Source: RNAcentral
AGAAAAAAAUUAAACUAUAUAAUCAGAGAUAAAAAUUACAUUUAUUCUAAUAAUAUUAAAAGAAUUUUAAAAAGAAAUAAAAAAUACAUUAAUUUUAAUAAAAAAUAAAAGAAAACCAUUAAAAAAUAUUCCAUAAACAUAGAAAAACGCGAUUUCUGGUAACUACUUGACAACGAAUAUUAGAAAAAAUUGUCAUAACAAAACAAAAAUAAAUAAAAUCUCACAAAAAUAAACAACAAAUUAAUACAUUAUAUUACUGCAUUGCGAUUUAUGAAUGAAAUUAUUAAUAAUAACAACAAACAACCAUUUAAAAUUAUAACAAAUUGUUUUACAAGCUAAAUUAUAAAAAAAAUACACUUUGGCAUUCAUUCAUGUUGUUGCUGCUUGCUGUUUCUUCCACUUAAACGCUAAAUUGUCGCUGAAAUUGUGUCUAAUUUUAUGAAAAUAGAUUUUGAAAACAAGAAAUAGAUUUUGAAAAUUUUGUAUACCUAUUUUUUAAAAAUAAUUCUAAAGCAAAAUACCAAACAAAUAAAAUUAUGCCACCGAUUAAAUAUACUGCCACUAUUGCACCCAAUACCGUCAACAUUGGUGAUAAAGUACGAAUCAAAGGAAUUUUAAUGGAUGAUGCAAAAGAAUUUUCCAUAAAUUUCGUUAAUGAACUAUGCCGGAAUCCUGCAUUUAUAACAUAUCAUUUCAAAUGGAUUUUAGAUGAAAAUGUUAUUGUUGAGAACUAUAAAGAGAAUGGCGAAUGGAUCGAUCAUAAAGAGAAAAUGUUCGAUCAACUCGAUGGUGUGUUUCAUAGUAAAAAUUCAUUUAGCUCUCAUCCCCUCUAUACUAACAAUACAAUUCUAAAUUAUUCUGUUUUAGGUACAAUAUUCGAAUUAGAAUUUGCAUUCCAAGACGGUUAUAUUGAUGUUUAUAAAAUCUAUGAGAAUACGCCAAAUCGUAUUACGACAUAUGAUACAGAAUUAAAUAUAAAUGAUAUAAAAUCCUUACAAGUUUGGGGUGAUGUUAAGAAAAUUUCCGAAAUUACCUUUAAAUAUGCGUAGAAAUUAUUAAUAAAAACACAUAUACACACAAAAAAGAACGUUUUGGAAAAUCUAACUUGGAAUGAAAAUCUCUAAAUUCAAAAUGGAUUGAAAAAAGCUAGAAGAAGAAAAAAAAAAAUUUAUACAGUAAAACCUAAAAAAGACGAAUAUCAAAUUCAUCAAAAGUAAGAUUUAAGUCAUUUGUUUUAUAAUUUUAAAUUAUAUUGUUAUUUGUUUAUAAACUAAUAAAAAGAAAGGGAAAUUAAACA